Molecule: ribosomal RNA, 1233 nt
Filed under: Acinetobacter calcoaceticus
Lineage: Bacteria; Pseudomonadati; Pseudomonadota; Gammaproteobacteria; Moraxellales; Moraxellaceae
Description: bacterial SSU rRNA
Rfam family: Bacterial small subunit ribosomal RNA
Source: RNAcentral
UGGCGGCAGGCUUAACACAUGCAAGUCGAGCGGAGAGAGGUAGCUUGCUACUGAUCUUAGCGGCGGACGGGUGAGUAAUGCUUAGGAAUCUGCCUAUUAGUGGGGGACAACAUUUCGAAAGGAAUGCUAAUACCGCAUACGUCCUACGGGAGAAAGCAGGGGAUCUUCGGACCUUGCGCUAAUAGAUGAGCCUAAGUCGGAUUAGCUAGUUGGUGGGGUAAAGGCCUACCAAGGCGACGAUCUGUAGCGGGUCUGAGAGGAUGAUCCGCCACACUGGGACUGAGACACGGCCCAGACUCCUACGGGAGGCAGCAGUGGGGAAUAUUGGACAAUGGGCGCAAGCCUGAUCCAGCCAUGCCGCGUGUGUGAAGAAGGCCUUAUGGUUGUAAAGCACUUUAAGCGAGGAGGAGGCUACUUUAGAUAAUACCUAGAGAUAGUGGACGUUACUCGCAGAAUAAGCACCGGCUAACUCUGUGCCAGCAGCCGCGGUAAUACAGAGGGUGCAAGCGUUAAUCGGAUUUACUGGGCGUAAAGCGCGCGUAGGCGGCUAAUUAAGUCAAAUGUGAAAUCCCCGAGCUUAACUUGGGAAUUGCAUUCGAUACUGGUUAGCUAGAGUGUGGGAGAGGAUGGUAGAAUUCCAGGUGUAGCGGUGAAAUGCGUAGAGAUCUGGAGGAAUACCGAUGGCGAAGGCAGCCAUCUGGCCUAACACUGACGCUGAGGUGCGAAAGCAUGGGGAGCAAACAGGAUUAGAUACCCUGGUAGUCCAUGCCGUAAACGAUGUCUACUAGCCGUUGGGGCCUUUGAGGCUUUAGUGGCGCAGCUAACGCGAUAAGUAGACCGCCUGGGGAGUACGGUCGCAAGACUAAAACUCAAAUGAAUUGACGGGGGCCCGCACAAGCGGUGGAGCAUGUGGUUUAAUUCGAUGCAACGCGAAGAACCUUACCUGGCCUUGACAUAGUAAGAACUUUCCAGAGAUGGAUUGGUGCCUUCGGGAACUUACAUACAGGUGCUGCAUGGCUGUCGUCAGCUCGUGUCGUGAGAUGUUGGGUUAAGUCCCGCAACGAGCGCAACCCUUUUCCUUAUUUGCCAGCGAGUAAUGUCGGGAACUUUAAGGAUACUGCCAGUGACAAACUGGAGGAAGGCGGGGACGACGUCAAGUCAUCAUGGCCCUUACGGCCAGGGCUACACACGUGCUACAAUGGUCGGUACAAAGGGUUGCUACCUAGCGAUAGG